UUCUGCAUUACGCGUUAGUUCUUUGCCCUUGUUCUCAUCGAAGAUAUUAUUGUGACUGGGAUAUUCUGCAUUUAAUUAUUGAUACAAUUUUCUCGACAUCAUGGGAAAGUAUAUUGUUACAGGAGCGCUUUUUUUGUAUGUGCUGAUGAUGAUAAUUCCAUUAGCACGAUUGGCAACGACGACGCCGCCGGCGCCAACAACAGCUGCAGCAACAACAGCAGCUGCAGCAACAACCGCCAAUUUUGCAAGUACGGCAACCCAGGAGAGUGAGAGCGCAGGCCAAGGAAUAACAUUUCAGUCAUCAGUGAUUGUUACCUCCCUUAUUUGUGUUUCACUAUUUUUAUAAAAGUGUGUUGUAUGUGGUUGCAUUUCCUUUAUUUAAUAUUUGAACUUAAAAUACAAUCUUUUAUGUUGUGUUGGCCAUGUACAUAUUAACAGAAAUAGAUACGACGUAUCAGUGAACCUGUGCAUGAAGGUGAUUUCGAGAGUUCUCUUUUAACUCGCUCUUAUCGCAUUUAUUCAAUACAUUCGGAACUCCUCGGCCAUUUUUAUCGAAAACAACCUCGGAUGUAUGCCGGUACAUCAGUUGAAGUAGUUCGUACUUUUUUGAAUUAAAGCAUUUAUUAAAUAUAGUGUUUUAGGGUUGUAACUAUUGAUCUAAUUUAAAUUGAUUGCCACUGAAGUGUAUUAUUGUACACGUUAUUUAAAUCCCAAGAGUUAAGUCAUAAAGUUUAACUGCUAAAUAAUAUUACUACGCGAUCUACUUGCAGCGGACUUAAACGUACCACUUUUUGAGUAUGUAAACCGUCCAAAUACAGCCGAGGUUGUUUUCGAUAAAAAUGGCCGAGGAGUUCCGAUUGAAUUCAAUACUUUCUUCGUCAUUCGGAACUCCUCGGCCAUUUGCUUUCGAUAAAAAAAAAAUAGCCCAGGAGUUCCGAAUGCUUUUUUAAAAUAACAAUGUAAACAUAACUUGAUGAAGUAGUGCACUCAAAUUCGUCUACAUAUACAAGUUUCCGUACACCAAUUAUUGCCUGUAUAUAACAUGUGAAUAAAAAGUUUGGUAAAAUGCCA
Molecule: long non-coding RNA, 1071 nt
Organism: Mya arenaria
Lineage: Eukaryota; Metazoa; Mollusca; Bivalvia; Myida; Myidae
Exons: 3
Source: RefSeq, a predicted model, not a curated record